CCGUACACAAAAGCGCAUGUGUUGUGAGCUCGAUGAGUAGGGCGGGACACGUGGUAUCCUGUCUGAAUAUGGGGGGACCAUCCUCCAAGGCUAAAUACUCCUGACUGACCGAUAGUGAACCAGUACCGUGAGGGAAAGGCGAAAAGAACCCCGGCGAGGGGAGUGAAAAAGAACCUGAAACCGUGUACGUACAAGCAGUGGGAGCCCCACCACUAAGCCAGUGGUGAACUCCACAUACGCAUCCUUUGCUGAAGGUGCGGUUAACGGAGCGCAAGCGACGCCCAACACACAAAACAAGCGGUGAGUGCUUUGGGGUGGGGUGACUGCGUACCUUUUGUAUAAUGGGUCAGCGACUUAUAUUCUGUAGCAAGGUUAACCGUAUAGGGGAGCCGGAGGGAAAC
Molecule: ribosomal RNA, 401 nt
Filed under: Salmonella enterica subsp. enterica serovar Kentucky
Lineage: Bacteria; Pseudomonadati; Pseudomonadota; Gammaproteobacteria; Enterobacterales; Enterobacteriaceae
Description: bacterial LSU rRNA
Rfam family: Bacterial large subunit ribosomal RNA
Source: RNAcentral